AGUGCUGUAGGCAAAUGGAUUAAGCCGCUUGACUUUCGAUCAGGUGAUUUGCGGGUAUGCGCUAAAGCGCACGCUAUGCGAACAAGUCCCGUCAGCACUACCA
This 103-nucleotide transfer RNA is filed under the name Microcoleus sp. FACHB-68. RNAcentral describes it as "tRNA-Glu". It matches the Rfam family "tRNA". Rfam says of the family: Transfer RNA (tRNA) molecules are approximately 80 nucleotides in length. The record is from RNAcentral. Lineage: Bacteria; Bacillati; Cyanobacteriota; Cyanophyceae; Oscillatoriales; Microcoleaceae.